GAUGAACGCUGGCGGCGUGCCUAAUACAUGCAAGUCGAGCGAACGGACGAGAAGCUUGCUUCUCUGAUGUUAGCGGCGGACGGGUGAGUAACACGUGGAUAACCUCCCUAUAAGACUGGGAUAACUUCGGGAAACCGGAGCUAAUACCGGCUAAUAUUUUGAACCGCAUGGUUAAAAAGUAAAAGACGGUCUUGCUGUCACUUAUAGAUGGAUCCGCGCUGCAUUAGCUAGUUGGUAAGGUAACGGCUUACCAAGGCAACGAUGCAUAGCCGACCUGAGAGGGUGAUCGGCCACACUGGAACUGAGACACGGUCCAGACUCCUACGGGAGGCAGCAGUAGGGAAUCUUCCGCAAUGGGCGAAAGCCUGACGGAGCAACGCCGCGUGAGUGAUGAAGGUCUUCGGAUCGUAAAACUCUGUUAUUAGGGAAGAACAUAUGUGUAAGUAACUGUGCACAUCUUGACGGUACCUAAUCAGAAAGCCACGGCUAACUACGUG
RNAcentral lists this ribosomal RNA (497 nucleotides) under uncultured bacterium. RNAcentral describes it as "partial 16S ribosomal RNA". It matches the Rfam family "Bacterial small subunit ribosomal RNA", at positions 28 to 507 of the family's 1533-position model. The record is from RNAcentral.